RNAcentral lists this long non-coding RNA (215 nucleotides) under Elaeis guineensis (African oil palm). RNAcentral's name for it is "long non-coding RNA (EGUI_LNC014298)". Lineage: Eukaryota; Viridiplantae; Streptophyta; Magnoliopsida; Arecales; Arecaceae. The record is from RNAcentral.
UUAUUUAAUAGGCUAUCCAGAUAAUACCAAAGUAUAUAGAUUCUAUUGCCCUGACAAGAAAUAUAAAGAUAGUUGAGUCUAAUCAUAUCAAAUUUCUAGAGUUUGAUAUGGAUAAUUACAUAUACUCUUAUAUUGGAGAUAUGAUAUUAAAAAAAAUAAGUUAUUAUUCUUAUCUUAUUUAUCCAAAAAAAUAUCAUAUUUCAUCCUAGAAGGAU